GGGCGCGUAGCUCAGCUGGAAGAGCAUCGGUCUCCAAAACCGAAGGCCGCGGGUUCGAGUCCUGCCGCGCCUGCCC
RNAcentral lists this transfer RNA (76 nucleotides) under Candidatus Portnoybacteria bacterium CG03_land_8_20_14_0_80_41_10. Its description in RNAcentral is "tRNA-Trp". It matches the Rfam family "tRNA". From Rfam's summary of the family: Transfer RNA (tRNA) molecules are approximately 80 nucleotides in length. Their secondary structure includes four short double-helical elements and three loops (D, anti-codon, and T loops). The record is from RNAcentral. Lineage: Bacteria; Candidatus Portnoyibacteriota.